UGUACUGUGAAACUGCGAAUGGCUCAUUAAAUCAGUUAUCGUUUAUUUGAUAGUACCUUACUACAUGGAUACCUGUGGUAAUUCUAGAGCUAAUACAUGCUAAAAACCCCGACUUCAGGAAGGGGUGUAUUUAUUAGAUAAAAAACCAACGCCCUUCGGGGCUCCUUGGUGAAUCAUAAUAACUUAACGAAUCGCAUGGCCUUGCGCCGGCGAUGGUUCAUUCAAAUUUCUGCCCUAUCAACUUUCGAUGGUAGGAUAGUGGCCUACCAUGGUGGCAACGGGUAACGGGGAAUUAGGGUUCGAUUCCGGAGAGGGAGCCUGAGAAACGGCUACCACAUCCAAGGAAGGCAGCAGGCGCGCAAAUUACCCAAUCCCGAUACGGGGAGGUAGUGACAAUAAAUACUGAUACGGGGCUCUUUUGGGUCUCGUAAUUGGAAUGAGAACAAUUUAAAUCCCUUAACGAGGAACAAUUGGAGGGCAAGUCUGGUGCCAGCAGCCGCGGUAAUUCCAGCUCCAAUAGCGUAUAUUAAAGUUGUUGCAGUUAAAAAGCUCGUAGUUGAACCUUGGGUCUGGCUGGCCGGUCCGCCUCACCGCGAGUACUGGUCCGGCUGGACCUUUCCUUCUGGGGAACCUCAUGGCCUUCACUGGCUGUGGGGGGAACCAGGACUUUUACUGUGAAAAAAUUAGAGUGUUCAAAGCAGGCCUUUGCUCGAAUACAUUAGCAUGGAAUAAUAGAAUAGGACGUGUGGUUCUAUUUUGUUGGUUUCUAGGACCGCCGUAAUGAUUAAUAGGGAUAGUCGGGGGCGUCAGUAUUCAGCUGUCAGAGGUGAAAUUCUUGGAUUUGCUGAAGACUAACUACUGCGAAAGCAUUCGCCAAGGAUGUUUUCAUUAAUCAGGGAACGAAAGUUAGGGGAUCGAAGACGAUCAGAUACCGUCGUAGUCUUAACCAUAAACUAUGCCGACUAGGGAUCGGACGGGAUUCUAUAAUGACCCGUUCGGCACCUUACGAGAAAUCAAA
RNAcentral lists this ribosomal RNA (1018 nucleotides) under Penicillium melanoconidium. RNAcentral's name for it is "SSU rRNA". It matches the Rfam family "Eukaryotic small subunit ribosomal RNA", at positions 75 to 1102 of the family's 1831-position model. Lineage: Eukaryota; Fungi; Ascomycota; Eurotiomycetes; Eurotiales; Aspergillaceae. The record is from RNAcentral.